This is an RNA transcript of Panicum virgatum (switchgrass), 2421 nucleotides long. It is a transcript of the gene named F-box/LRR-repeat protein 17-like, with no coding region annotated. NCBI's taxonomy places the organism in Eukaryota, Viridiplantae, Streptophyta, Magnoliopsida, Poales, Poaceae. The transcript has 13 exons. The record is from RefSeq and is a predicted model, not a curated record.
UUUUUUCCUCGCUGCGCACCCCGUGCAUGCGAGGGAGAGGGGGAGAGAGGCGUCGUGGCCGGCGCGGCGCGUGGUAAACCAAACCAAAUCCUCCUCCGCUCCGCUCCGCCCCACGGCCAUCCGCCCCGGUCGCCUCUCCUCUCCCCGAGCCACGGAAAAUGGCGCCAACCCCUCCCCAAUCUCCCGCGCGGCCCGGCCCCCGCCGCUAUUCCCCCCUCGCCUGACCUGGCCCGACCGCGCCCCCCCCAAACCCUAACCCCCGCGGCGGCCGGCCAUGGCGUCGCAGCCCAGGCCGCCGCCGCCGCCGCGCCCCAAGACGCGGGGCAACUACAACUGCGGCCGCUGCGGCCAGCCCAAGAAGGGCCACGUCUGCGUCGCCCCCAUCCCCGUCGCGGCCUCCCCGUCCGGGGCCGCCCCGUCCCCGUCGCCCUCCACCUCGUCGGGGGCCGCCAGCGCCAGCGGGGAUCAGAGGCUCCGCCGCGCCCUCUCGUUCGACGAGGCGGGGACCCCGUCCUCGCCCGAGAAGAAGCCCAAGGUGGAGGCGGACGCGGAGAUGGACGUGGCCGGCGGCGAGGAGGAGGAGGACGUGGUGAUGGAGGUGGGCGGCCGCCCGGUGCCCAGGGAGGUCAUGGCGGAGGUGCUGCGCCGGCUCGGGCCCCGCGGGGUCAUGGCCGCCGCGGGGGUCAGCCGCGGCUGGCGGGACUGCGCGGGCCGGGUCUGGCGGGCGGCCGACGAGCUCCGCCUCCGCGUCCUCGCCGCCUCGGGCGCCGGCCUCCUCGGCGCGCUGCUACCGCGGUGCCCCGCGCUCUCGCGCCUGCAGCUCCGAAUGGAAAGUGAUGUUGAUGCCACUACACUGGCAUGUCUUGCAUUUUCCUGCCCAAGUUUAAAUACUCUUGAGAUUACCAUGGCUGCCAAUGCAGUCAACAGGAUGACUGGAGAGGAUCUAGGUCGUUUUGUUUCGGCGAAGUCUUCUCUGUCAGUCCUCAAAAUUGGUGGUUGCUCUAAUUUGGAUUUUAUUAAUCUAUGCUCUUCAAGCCUUUCGGUUCUUUGGCUGUCAGAUCUUUGUUCCCUUUCAAAAUCGGUCAUGAACUGUCCUAAUAUGAGUGAACUCUCACUUUGCUUCGCACAACAAAGUAAUGAUUAUACUGAUAUGGUUACUUUGAUGGAUGGCAUUGGUCGUACAUGCCCUAACUUAAACAAAAUGCACAUAUCGUCAAAUCAAUUAUCCAAUGAAGCUGUAUUUGCUCUAGAGAGUGCUAAUCUCAGGGGACUGUCAAUGCUAUCUUUGAUUCUAGGUUCAAAAAUAACUGAUGCAGCUGUUGCAUCUAUUGUUCGAUUUUGCACAAGCUUGGAGUUGCUUGAUUUGAGUGGAUCUAGCAUCAGUGAUAAUGGUGUUGGGAUGAUAUGCAAGGCGUUCCCUCAUACUUUGUCAAGGCUGCUCCUUGCCCUCUGCCCAAAUGUGACUACACGUGGGAUCCAGUUAGCUACGGCACAGUUGCCACAUCUUCAACUCAUGGACUGUGGAAUGAGCCUAUGUGCUAAUUUGAACAAUGACAAAGAAGGGCCAUGUUUAGGUGAAAUCAAUGGAGGCAUUAGAAUCAUUCGAAAGUUGUGCACCUUAAAAAAGCAACCUGUUCUUCAGAAGCUUAUUAUAAAGCAUUGUAAUUUGAAGAAGCUCAGUCUGUGGGGUUGUUCAGCGAUUGAUGCUCUCUAUGUAAAUUGUCCACAAUUAAAUGAUCUCAAUCUCAACUCUUGCACAAAUUUACAUCCAGUGCCCAAAUUUGAAGAAUGUCCAUGCAGCUGGAUGCCAAGACAUGUUGAUUGGAGCAAUCAGAAAUCAGAAAAACAUCUUUAUAGGCUUCAUUGGCUCAGUUCCAGGAAACUUCACUGGGCAUCAACCUCAACAACCCACAUCCUGGAUAGGCAGGCAUUGCCGUCUUUCAAACUGAUGUCUGUGCGUGGCCACGAGUCACCUCAGGGCAAGCUACACUUGUGAUGAGGUGGCUCUGCCAUCCAUGGAUGUAUGGACAUUACUGCUGGUUCUGAAUGAGUUCGCUGCAGCUGACUCAUCUCUUCCAUGCAAGCGGCUAGCGGACGGCUCAAAACGUGUUCAACUCCCCCAAUUCCUACAACAUCAGCCGUCGGAGGAUGGCAAGUUGUUUGAAUCGAGCCAGACCCAGUGCACCAUGCAUCUUGACAUCGCCAGAGCCAGUUAGCUGAGCAAUUGUACACAUUAAUUCUUUGUGUAAUUACUGCAUUGCCUCAGAACCUAUAGUGUUUGUUGUAUAAGUUGCUAACUGUUGUGUAGGACUUGCAUGAAUUCCACAUCAUCUGUUUCUUGUAGAGCAAUAAUUUGUAACAAUGACCUUGUAUUCUAUUGGGAGCAAUAAUGAUCCUGGACCGUUUGGUGUGUCAGAGCAA